This 472-nucleotide ribosomal RNA is filed under the name uncultured bacterium. RNAcentral describes it as "bacterial SSU rRNA". It matches the Rfam family "Bacterial small subunit ribosomal RNA", at positions 335 to 801 of the family's 1533-position model. The record is from RNAcentral.
ACUCCUACGGGAGGCAGCAGUAGGGAAUCUUCCACAAUGGACGAAAGUCUGAUGGAGCAACGCCGCGUGAGUGAAGAAGGGUUUCGGCUCGUAAAACUCUGUUGUUAAAGAAGAACAUAUCUGAGAGUAACUGUUCAGGUAUUGACGGUAUUUAACCAGAAAGCCACGGCUAACUACGUGCCAGCAGCCGCGGUAAUACGUAGGUGGCAAGCGUUGUCCGGAUUUAUUGGGCGUAAAGCGAGCGCAGGCGGUUUUUAAGUCUGAUGUGAAAGCCUUCGGCUCAACCGAAGAAGUGCAUCGGAAACUGGGAAACUUGAGUGCAGAAGAGGACAGUGGAACUCCAUGUGUAGCGGUGAAAUGCGUAGAUAUAUGGAAGAACACCAGUGGCGAAGGCGGCUGUCUGGUCUGUAACUGACGCUGAGGCUCGAAAGUAUGGGUAGCAAACAGGAUUAGAUACCCUGGUAGGAAAGCG